CCUACGGGAGGCAGCAGUGAGGAAUAUUGGUCAAUGGACGAGAGUCUGAACCAGCCAAGUAGCGUGAAGGAUGACUGCCCUAUGGGUUGUAAACUUCUUUUAUAAAGGAAUAAAACGAGGCACGUGUGCCUUUUUGCAUGUACUUUAUGAAUAAGGAUCGGCUAACUCCGUGCCAGCAGCCGCGGUAAUACGGAGGAUCCGAGCGUUAUCCGGAUUUAUUGGGUUGAAAGGGAGCGUAGAUGGGUUGUUAAGUCAGUUGUGAAAGUUUGCGGCUCAACCGUAAAACUGCAAUUGAUACUGGCCGUCUUGAGUACAGUAGAGGUAGGCGGAAUUCGUGGUGUAGCGGAGAAAUGCUUAGAUAUCACGAAGAACCCCGAUUGCGAAGGCAGCUUACUAAACUGUGACUGACAUUGAUGCUCGAAAGUGUGGGUAGCAAACAGGAUUAGAUACCCUAGUAGUC
This 460-nucleotide ribosomal RNA is filed under the name uncultured bacterium. RNAcentral describes it as "partial 16S ribosomal RNA". It matches the Rfam family "Bacterial small subunit ribosomal RNA", at positions 338 to 795 of the family's 1533-position model. The record is from RNAcentral.